CCAGCCCCUCCCUAUUCAGAACUUUGGAGGUUAAGAGGAAAGGUUCAAGCACUGAACAAUGAUGUUUUUGUGUGGUGCUUUAGGCCAGGUCCUGUAUCAUCUUUGCUUCUCUUCCUGAAAGGUAGCCCUCUUCAUCUGCAAGUGAUAAAUGACCCACAAAGUGCCUUACAGAAACUGAUGGGGAGCACCAAGGCAGGGACCCAUGUUUGGUCCAAUCAGAAUCUCAAUGACCAGGUCCUUGCAGCAUCUGAGAUGUUGAGUCCCAAUGGAGUCUGCAUUAAAGCUCUUCUUUGCCCUCUCUGGAAUUGAGUCUGCAUUAAAGCCAUCCCCUGAAAUGGAGUCUACUUUUUCUCAUCCUACCUCUUCUCUUACACAUGGCAUACUAAUGUGGCAUAUCUUAGUGUGCAUUUUUGGGUAAGUGGCCAUCUUACCCAGAAAUCCAACCCAUCUGUGACAUGCUUGGAUAAACAACACAAACCAAGAUGGUUUUCAGUUGAAUUCCCAGAUCAUAAUGACAGUUUUUGAAUUAAGGGAG
RNAcentral lists this long non-coding RNA (535 nucleotides) under Cricetulus griseus (Chinese hamster). Its description in RNAcentral is "lncRNA (ENSCGRG00000024738.1)". The record is from RNAcentral. Lineage: Eukaryota; Metazoa; Chordata; Mammalia; Rodentia; Cricetidae.